UGAAAAGCUAACUCAAUAUAAUUGGGUUUAAAAUAGAAAGCAGGAUAGCUCUCAAUUCUGAUACUUUUUUGUAGGUAGAGUUGGGUAUGAUGUCCUAGGAAAGGUCUACUCACUGUGCAAGGAUUUGGAGUAUGUCAUGUUAUAUUUUCUUUUAAAACUUCAGAAUAAUCUCUAGCCACUAAGUGCUGCCCAACCUCAGUUGGAAGGAGUUUUCUUCAGGGCUUUAAUGCCUUGCAUUUUACACCAACUAGUUUCCUGGGCCUCCACUAAAGUGAUACCCUACCCUGGCAUGAAAGUGACCCUGGAUUCUCAAAGUCUCUGCAAGGGCCACACAACCCAUGAUAAGUCGGGAACAGCUCAGGAAAGACUUUGAAUUAAGAAUCUUGCCAUGCUUAAUUCAUGGUCCAUGGACAGCUGCAGAAUAACUCUUUUUUUUUCUUUUUCAGCAACCUAAUCCAUUAAGACCCUAAAGAGACUGUAAUCUGUGUUUGGCAGAUGUAAUUACCGUGCAGACCAGAUUGAAGAUCCCUGAAUUACUGAAGUAUGAGGUGGUUAAUAGCAUCAUCACCAACAACAACAUUUAUUCUACCACUGGCCCAGAGACUCCAUUAUGAAGGCGGACACUUUUUUUUUCCCUUCCGUGGUUGGAGGAGAGGAGCGGAGAUGAGUAGAGAAAGGGAGGAGAGGAGGAAUGAAGUCCAAAGUUGCCAUAAUUGUAUUUGCCUUUCCCUUUUCUCAAUAAAGAUCAAUCGUGUAAACUGAUUGCUUAAACAAUAGGAUCAGCAGUCAGUUAUUAUAAAUGCAGGAGAAUUUUUUCCAAACGCUAUUUGCCUGAUGUGUGCUACGAGAAUUGAAUUUUAAUGACUGAGACAACUCUCCCAUUGAAGGGACGGCAGCAAUCAAAAAGCUAGGGCUGCAUUUGGAGUCACACUAUCCCACCUCCGACCUUGAAAGCGGAAAUACCGACUUUUACUCUUGGACAUUUUCCCCCCUGCUUUUUCUCUCUUCGCUCCUCCUUUGCCUUUAACAUUAAAAAAAAAAUCGAUUCUCCAUUAUGAAAAUUUACUGACCCAAAGAGGGAGAAUUUUGUGGGAGUUUUGUACCUAUCUGUUGCUUUGGGCCUCUCUUCCCCCCCCCCCCAGUUCCCACCUCCUGGCUCCUGUAAGUCCCUGAGAAUAGUUCCUAGGCAGAGCUCCGCUUGAGCCUGCACACCAGACCCGCUCCCGGGCUCCACAGCUCCUUCUCCACUUACCCAGAAAUGACAGACUGCUGGCUAAGGGAUCCAGCCCGGGGCUAAGAAGAGAGGGGCUGUUGAAACACCAAAGUCAAGUCAGGUUUGGGGUGCGAUAUUUCACAGUGCCGCUGGGACGCUGAUUUAUGUUCUUGCCCUAUGAAAUAGUCCAAACUCUUUGGCUUUGGAUUAUUUUUUAAUUUUUUUAUCAAUUGUUCUUCCUCUCCAUAUCACGCUGAGAUAGCUUUAAGUAGAAGGGGGAUUUUAUUUAUCACCCAACACGUCUUAAAUGUAUGCAGACAGAAAAGAGCUCACUCUGGAUCUCUGGCUCAAUUUUGAAGCCGUCGGGGAAUCAUUUGACUAACUUGCUGGGAUCUUUCACAUUCGAAACAGAAACGCAGCUCAUGGUUCUGCUGUAAAUCAGACGACUGUCUUCUACUAUGAAAAAGAAAUAUCUUACACAAAGGGGGAGAAAAGAAAGAAAACAGAGAGGGAAAAGGCAGUGUGGCCAAAGCAAAAUGUCCUUCAGAAACGAAGAUUAAAUUUUAAUUCUAGAAUAAAAAACUGUUGGAGUGUAGGAGGUCUCCA
Molecule: long non-coding RNA, 1819 nt
Organism: Phascolarctos cinereus (koala)
Lineage: Eukaryota; Metazoa; Chordata; Mammalia; Diprotodontia; Phascolarctidae
Source: Ensembl